AUAUUUGUUGAAAACCCUUCUCACAUAGUUCAUCCAUUACUAUAUUUUUCACUCUUAUCGAGUAUAGAUAUCCUUAUAUAAUUGAACCAGAAUAAGAGGGGAACAGGGAAGAAAAAUUAUACUCUUCUUUCUAUUUGUCGACGUAGUUAUUGUUUUGUGAGUCUUGGUGUGAAAGUGUCUAACUGUUACAAUUUUUCAAAUAGUAAAAAAUCGUCUUUUAAUUUUCUUCAAUUGUGGUGUUUUGUACUUAAAAAAUCUUGCAUUCUAUUUAUUGUCAUUAUUCUCUAUUUUCGUUUUUCUACUCUUUUCCUCUCCUUGAUAUUCUUUCAAACUGCACUUUCAAAACUUGUUCAAUCCAAAACUUGACUAGACCUAUAUCCUUUCCUUUGCCACGAGUUUACUCAUCAAUACCUUUCUGAGUAGUGUUAUUGGAAUUGUAAGUGGUAAAAUGAUGAAAUGCAUAAAGUCGAUGAUGAUAAGGAUUUAUUUAGGCUUCUUUUGGUCUUAUUGUGUUUUAAGGGGAUCAAUUGUAGCUGUACUAGAGAAAGAAUCACUACUUGAAUAAUCAGAUAAGUGUUUGGUACUCUUGGUUUCAAAAUUAGCAUUUCAGGACUUGUUAAACGAAAAGUGAUUUAUUAAUAUGAAUAUAUGUUGGAAAUAUUGAAGUGAUAGAGAAGAGACAAGAGAAGAUCAUAAGAAAUCGCAGGAACAAGAUGAAGAAAUUAGAAAAUAUCAAAAUUAACUUCGAAGGCUGAAACGCGAGAUCGCUGUCCUCAUACGUUAUUUGCCUCCUCUCCAAUGAUUCACGAGAUGUUUAAGGGUAUUCUGGCAAAUGGUUUAAAGGAUUAUAACAAGCAUUGUAAAGAAUUUCACCAAAGCACAAAGUAAAAUUCCCCAAAACUUUAAGAAUAUAAAGGAAUUGAAUAUGAAGAAAUGGAUUGAUGAUCUUUGAUGUUGAACAAGUUUUUUCUUUGUUUUUUUAAGCGUUGAAUAUAGAUCUUCUAUAUAUAGGCCACAUCCAAGGGAGUGAAAUGGUGCCAAAAUUGAUUGAAAAGCCACCGAAGUUGAAAUUAUAACAUUCAAAAACAGCCCUCUAACGGUCACCAAAAACCUACCAUGCGACCGCAUGGUACAUAUCCAUGCGGUCGCAUGAUUCAUUUGAGCUGAGACCUUAAGGUCUCAGCAUAUGGACACGUGACCGCAUGGCCUUUAUGCUCA
This 1218-nucleotide long non-coding RNA is filed under the name Olea europaea subsp. europaea. The record is from RNAcentral. Lineage: Eukaryota; Viridiplantae; Streptophyta; Magnoliopsida; Lamiales; Oleaceae.